This is a long non-coding RNA of Lolium rigidum, 699 nucleotides long. RefSeq lists it as uncharacterized. The transcript is spliced from 4 exons. The record is from RefSeq and is a predicted model, not a curated record. NCBI's taxonomy places the organism in Eukaryota, Viridiplantae, Streptophyta, Magnoliopsida, Poales, Poaceae.
CAUCCCGCCGCCACCUACCUCCCUCCACCCUUUCUCUCUUCUCUUCUCUGUGAGAAAACGAACAGGAGAAAAUCAUACUUCCACCAUCCUCUUCACCAUGGCGCCGCCACUACAGACCCUCCCCCGCCGUUCUGAGGGCAUCGGCAGAUGCGCCUCGUCGUCCUCUAUCUCCUGGUGCGCGGAAUCGUCCCGAGAGGCCCCGAGUUGAGCGCAAGGUCGCCGAUUCUUCGUGCCAGACUCCAAGCUUCUUCCCCGAUUCCGGCCGCCCUCGUCCUUCUCCGGCCAAACCAAGCACAUCCACGAUUUCCCCGUAUCCAGGCGCACCCCCGACGCCUCGCGCUCGUGCUGUUUCGUCCGCAGCCAUCAAGUUCUUCUCCGACCAGGAUCUUCCGCCAUGGACGCCAUGCCCGAGCUCCGCCUCUCUCUGCUUCUAGUAGUCGGGCGACCCACAACCAUCACCAUCCGAUCAGGCAGCGCAGUGAUCCCGCAGGCACAAAUGGUUUACCUUGCGUGGGAGACCUUCCAAACCAGCAACAACAUGUAGCUGAGCUGAUCUGCUAGAUCUUCUGCAGAUGGGCCUCAGCCCACUCGUCGUGAGCAUCUUCAUCGCCCAGAGCGCGGUGGGCCGCUAUCCGUCGCCGCCUCCCCUCAGCAUUUGCUUCUUCCCGGAUAGGAUCACGAAGUGUUGAUGUGAGAUAC